UGAACGACGCACGCCAUAGGAAAACAAUUCGAAAGUGAGGCACGCCGUAGCAAAAUCUACGUGCUUAACAAUAUCGCUGCCACAGUCUCCGCCCAGCCACGGUCUCCGGCCAUCCCCAGGUAGCUUCUCUUCUUACCCAGCAAGUUUCUUGCAAUCGAUUUACAAUUGAUUUUGGGUUGAUGCUGCUCAAUUAUGCUCAAUCUUCGCUGUCAAUCUUCUCUUUCUCGUCCGUCUCCAACUUCUUUUUUCGUGUAGGUUUCAAGAUUGUUGCAGAAAUCAUUCUUCUCCUUCAAUUUCUUGUCUUUAUCGGCAAAAAAUUCUGCUUACCAGGUAUCAAUUUCUAAUUUUUGAUAUCCAAAUAUGGCGUUUUGAGAUUUGUGAAAGUAAAGCUUUUUUUGUGUUUGCUAAGUUGUUUGUGAUAUCUGCCUGCUAUUAGAUUGAUAGUCGAUUGAUUGAAUUGAUUCCUCCUCCGUUACUCUAUUGUUUUUGAAUUGGUUCCUUUGUAUUUUUUUAAGGCUACUGCUAGGCGGAACUAAGCGAACAAGAUUCUGGGUUGUGGCCUCUCUAUUUUCUGCCUUUUUUAUCUUCCUUUUCACCCUACCCUUCCUUUUAUUGGAUUACCCAUAUGGUCGACUUUUUCUUUAAAUAGCAGAAAUAAUCAUCCAAAGAUAGAGAUGGUCAAAUUUCAGUUCAAUUCAUUUGCAUAUUCUGUGAUUAUAAUAUUCCAAAUUCAACCAUAUCUUGAGGGAUUGAAUUGAUUUUCUUAUUUUCAUAUCUCUGUUAUGAAAAUUAUUCUCAAAGUGGAAUAAAGGACAUCUGUUGCUAAAUAACUGUUACAUCUCAUAUUUUCGUACGUAAAAGUACGCCAUAAGUAAAUUGAGAUAAGCUCGAAAAUGAGAUAUUACAUCCCGUAUUUUCGUACGUUAAAGUUUCGUCGUAAGUUAAUCAACGUAAGCUCGGGAAUGAGAUUAUUUUUGAGGUUAUAAGUAUUAUGCUAUUUCAAACAAGUUCGUGAAGGUGAGAGGAUAAGCAAGUCAAAGAAAAUGAGUUUCGUUGGUGAUUAUCAAUUUGGGAUAAAAAUACGGCCCGAGCUAUAAUAUUCGGUAUUUAUGGACUAGUGCCAUACAAGGUACCACAUGACCAUGAUAGUAUGAUGUAUAAAGUGUGUUAAAAGUAAGUAGUAUUUUAAGUAAUUUGAGAUAAUUCUUAAUUAUAUGGGUAAUUGGUUAAUUAUUGGGUAAUGAAAAAUUACCUAGUUAAUUAAGAAAUUGUUGGAUGAUUAAUUAAGAUCUUGGAUAAAGCCUAAAAGGCCCCAACGUGGCAGCAAGUCAAAUGGGGGUGAUAAGUGACUCUUUGGUUUGCAUACUAUGUGGGAAAAAUGAUUGGCCAAGUCAUCCACAAGAGUGGGGCCCACAGCCCCCAAUUUAAAGAGACUUUCCCAUAUCAUUAAGAGUGAAAAGCUUAUGCUUGCUAAGCUAACAGAUGAAAUCUCAAAACAAGGAAUUUAUAUGAAAUCUUUAACAAAAGUAACGAAUGAAGGCUUCAACCAAUUCAUAUGGGAAUUCAUGUGGUAGUAACGUGAUCUUCUUGAAACAAAAAUUCAAACGAGAUUUCUUAGUAUCUUAAGCAACGUGAGAUUUUGCAAUAGCAGCGUUAUUGAAUUGCUCACAUCUUAAGAAGAAAGCUUCAACAAAGAUGAUUCCGCAAUAGCAACGUUAUUGCUUCAAGCAUUUCAUACGAAGACUACUUAAUAUUAUAGCAACGUGGGAUUUGCGAUUCUAAAAAAGCCCGGUACAAUCUUUUUCAAGAAUAUCAUACGGAUUUUUCCCUACUUCGAUCUCGCUGUUGCAUGUUUUGUCGCGUUUGGCAGGUGUUAAAGGGAUUGUCAAGAGAAUCGGCUCAGGUAUGUUAAGGCUAUCCCUUCUUUCUUUUUGGUAUGAUCUAUACAAUGCAAACGAAACGAGCAAAUGCACAACUUUCAUAAAUGACUCUAUUCAUAGAAGUACUAGAAGUACCUAUGUUCUUGACUCCCCUGUGUCCUAUUGUUCUAUCAUCUGUUCAUGGGUCUCAGAAAAUACGUAAGUUAAUAAAGUUUAUUUCAUGAUAUUAAUCAAAGGCAUAUUGGUCUUAUGACAUACCGAGAAGUCUUAUUAACACACUUCUUAUGCAUUUCAUGCAUUUAUACAUGUAUAUUGACUCAUGACCAGAUGGCGUUAUAUACACAUAUAUUAUAUGUAUAUGGGAUAUGGGAAAAGGUUACGGCAUUAUAUACGCACCGCCACCUGAUCAGCUGGUAUACGUUGAUGAUUUGCCCAUAGUGACCGAGAUGAUAUGAUGGGAUGCCCUCAGAGGCUUGAUGAUGUUACGAACACAUAUACCUAUGCAUAGUAUGGCAAUUAUACGCAUAUGCAUGGCAUUAUAAAUAUAAAAUAAUUUACAGAUCUAUUCAGACUUACAUGUUGAGUCUUUUACUCCAUGUUUCUAUAUGUCUUUUAUUUACUGAUUUUCAUUCCUUACAUACUCGGUACAUUAUUUGUACUCACGUCCCUUUAGCCUGGGGACGCUGCGUUUCAUGCUUGCAGGUCUCGAUAGACAGGUUGCGAGUCCUCCAAGUAGGCUAUCAGCUCAGCAGAAGGUAUUGGUGCACUCCAUUGCUCCGGAGUUGCUUAUUUAGCCAGUAUGAUUAGGACAUGUAUUGAUUGGUAUGGCGGGGCUCUGUCCCGACCUUUAUGGUGUUUAUGUACUCUUAGAGGCUUGUAGACAUAUGUCAUGUACGUGAAAGAUUAUAUGGCUUUGUCGGCCUAUGUUCAGUAUAUGAGUGAUCAUUUUGGUCUUAUAGGCCCGUAUGUCAUAUGUAUAAGUUUGUAUUACAUGUUGGGUCGUCCAAUGUUGAGUGUUUCCUCAUGUUUUAUUCUACUUAUAUCACGACAGACUCUCCAG
Molecule: long non-coding RNA, 2940 nt
Filed under: Nicotiana tabacum (common tobacco)
Lineage: Eukaryota; Viridiplantae; Streptophyta; Magnoliopsida; Solanales; Solanaceae
Description: long non-coding RNA (NTAB_LNC000418)
Source: RNAcentral